AUCUGCUUUAUAUGUUAAAAUACAUACAAUUUUGGGCGGAGAAUACGAAAUGAUGUGGAUCUGUUUAUACCUACUGGUCUGUGGAUACAGCCCCCCCGACUGUUACGCAACUCCACGCCGAGCUCUAGCCACGUAUUUGGGUAUAAACCACAGCAACCAUGCUACUCCUCUAGGAACCGCAGUCAAAAACACCAGGAAGGAACAAAGUUUCGCUGACGCCUGCCUGCCCGUAGUACCACGGCCGAUCUGCUUAACAUUUCUGUCCCACGCCAACAAAUGGGUCAACUCUUACUCCAUUCGAGGCGCGUCGUACCAGACCAGGCUGCUUCUGGUUUAGCUCAUGGCUUGGUACAAGUAUCUUACCACUGAUUGGGCCUUUCGCAGAUGCUUGGUAAAUGCCAAUGCUUGGACAAUCACUCACGGCUACCACGCAGAUUUCACGUACUGUGCCGAGUCGGUUAGUGGAAUGACUUCCGAAUUACGCAAGUUAUUCUACAUUGAGCAGACGAGGCAUGGACUCAACUCAUCUUCCUCUUCUCAAUGUUUUCUUCUGCCUGUACAUAUGCCUCUCCGCAAAUUUAAGUAAUAAAUUAAUAAAUAACUUUUUG
This is a non-coding RNA of Drosophila virilis, 608 nucleotides long. Lineage: Eukaryota; Metazoa; Arthropoda; Insecta; Diptera; Drosophilidae. The record is from RefSeq and is a predicted model, not a curated record.